Molecule: ribosomal RNA, 1238 nt
Filed under: Apilactobacillus kunkeei
Lineage: Bacteria; Bacillati; Bacillota; Bacilli; Lactobacillales; Lactobacillaceae
Description: bacterial SSU rRNA
Rfam family: Bacterial small subunit ribosomal RNA
Source: RNAcentral
GAACUGGUGAGUAACACGUGGGUAACCUGCCCCGAAGCGGGGGAUAACAUUUGGAAACAAGUGCUAAUACCGCAUAAUUAGUUGGAACCGCAUGGUUCCAACUUGAAAGAUGGCUCUGCUAUCACUUUGGGAUGGACCCGCGCCGUAUUAGUUAGUUGGUGAGAUAAAAGCCCACCAAGACGAUGAUACGUAGCCGACCUGAGAGGGUAAUCGGCCACAUUGGGACUGAGACACGGCCCAGACUCCUACGGGAGGCAGCAGUAGGGAAUCUUCCACAAUGGACGAAAGUCUGAUGGAGCAACGCCGCGUGAGUGAUGAAGGUUUUCGGAUCGUAAAACUCUGUUGUUAAAGAAGAACAAGUGUUAGAGUAACUGUUAACACUUUGACGGUAUUUAACCAGAAAGCCACGGCUAACUACGUGCCAGCAGCCGCGGUAAUACGUAGGUGGCAAGCGUUGUCCGGAUUUAUUGGGCGUAAAGCGAGCGCAGGCGGUUUUGUAAGUCUGCUGUGAAAGCCCUCAGCUCAACUGAGGAAGUGCAGUGGAAACUACAAAACUUGAGUACAGAAGAGGAAAGUGGAACUCCAUGUGUAGCGGUGAAAUGCGUAGAUAUAUGGAAGAACACCAGUGGCGAAGGCGGCUUUCUGGUCUGUUACUGACGCUGAGGCUCGAAAGCAUGGGUAGCGAACAGGAUUAGAUACCCUGGUAGUCCAUGCCGUAAACGAUGAAUACUAGGUGUUGGAGGGUUUCCGCCCUUCAGUGCCGCAGCUAACGCAUUAAGUAUUCCGCCUGGGGAGUACGACCGCAAGGUUGAAACUCAAAGGAAUUGACGGGGGCCCGCACAAGUGGUGGAGCAUGUGGUUUAAUUCGAUGCUACGCGAAGAACCUUACCAGCUCUUGACAUCUUCUGCCAACCCAAGAGAUUGGGCGUUCCCUUCGGGGACAGAAUGACAGGUGGUGCAUGGUUGUCGUCAGCUCGUGUCGUGAGAUGUUGGGUUAAGUCCCGCAACGAGCGCAACCCUUAUUAUUAGUUGCCAGCAUUUAGUUGGGCACUCUAGUGAGACUGCCGGUGAUAAACCGGAGGAAGGUGGGGACGACGUCAAAUCAUCAUGCCCCUUAUGAGCUGGGCUACACACGUGCUACAAUGGAUGGUACAACGAGUCGCGAAACCGCGAGGUCAAGCUAAUCUCUUAAAGCCAUUCUCAGUUCGGAUUGCAGGCUGCAACUCGCCUGCAUGAAG